RNAcentral lists this ribosomal RNA (712 nucleotides) under Candona sp. VHP-2013. Its description in RNAcentral is "SSU rRNA". It matches the Rfam family "Eukaryotic small subunit ribosomal RNA", at positions 1055 to 1789 of the family's 1831-position model. The record is from RNAcentral. Lineage: Eukaryota; Metazoa; Arthropoda; Ostracoda; Podocopida; Candonidae.
UGGGGGUAUUUAAAUGACCCCCCAGGCAGCUUCUGGGAAACCAAAGUUUUUGGGUUCCGGGGGUAGUAUGGUUGCAAAGCUGGAACUUAAAGGAAUUGACGGAAGGGCACCACCAGGAGUGGAGCCUGUGGCUUAAUUUGACUCAACACGGGAAACCUCACCAGGCCCAGACACUAGAAGGAUUGACAGAUUGAGAGCUCUUUCUUGAUUUGGUGGAUGGUGGUGCAUGGCCGUUCUUAGUUGGUGGAGUGAUUUGUCUGGUUAAUUCCGAUAACGAACGAGACUUUAGCCUACUAAAUAGAAGGCGAAUACUGGUAGGUUCGCAUCUUCUUCUUAGAGGGACAAGGCAGCUUCAAGCUGCAUGAGAAAAGGCAAUAACAGGUCUGUGAUGCCCUUAGAUGUUCUGGGCCGCACACGCGCUACAAUAAAAGGCGCAGCGUGUCUUCCUGACUCGAUAGAGUUGGGUAACCCUCACAAUGUCUUUUGUGCUAGGGAUUGGGCUUUGAAAUUAUCGCCCAUGAACGAGGAAUUCCCAGUAAGUGCAAGUCAUAAGCUUGUGCUGACUACGUCCCUGCCCUUUGUACACACCGCCCGUCGCUACUACCGAUUGAAUGAUUUAGUGAGGACUUCGGACUGGUGCUAAUGCGGCCUCACGGUUGCGUUGGUUUACUGGGAAGAUGCCCAAACUGCCUCAUUUAGAGGAAGUAAAAGU